UAUUGGGUUGUCCAAAAAGUUCAUUUAGAUUUUUCCAUUACAUCUUAUGGAAAAACACAAAUGAACUUUCUGGCCAAUCCAAU
This 83-nucleotide microRNA precursor is filed under the name Ovis aries (sheep). RNAcentral's name for it is "miRNA (ENSOARG00000021564.1)". Lineage: Eukaryota; Metazoa; Chordata; Mammalia; Artiodactyla; Bovidae. The record is from RNAcentral.